AGUGAACGCUGGCGGUAGGCCUAACACAUGCAAGUCGAACGGCAGCACAGUAAGAGCUUGCUCUUACGGGUGGCGAGUGGCGGACGGGUGAGGAAUACAUCGGAAUCUACUUUUUCGUGGGGGAUAACGUAGGGAAACUUACGCUACUACCGCAUACGACCUACGGGUGAAAGCAUGGGAUCUUCGGACCUUGCGCGAUUGAAUGAGCCGAUGUCGGAUUAGCUAGUUGGCGGGGUAAAGGCCCACCAAGGCGACGAUCCGUAGCUGGUCUGACAGGAUGAUCAGCCACACUGGAACUGAGACACGGUCCAGACUCCUACGGGAGGCAGCAGUGGGGAAUAGUGGACAAUGGGCGCAAGCCUGAUCCAGCCAUACCGCGUGGGUGAAGAAGGCCUUCGGGUUGUAAAGCCCUUUUGUGGGGAAAGAAAAGCAGCAGGUUAAUACCCCGCUGUUCUGACGGUACCCAAAGAAUAAGCACCGGCUAACUUCGUG
This 492-nucleotide ribosomal RNA is filed under the name uncultured bacterium. RNAcentral's name for it is "partial 16S ribosomal RNA". It matches the Rfam family "Bacterial small subunit ribosomal RNA", at positions 29 to 507 of the family's 1533-position model. The record is from RNAcentral.